This 405-nucleotide long non-coding RNA is filed under the name Homo sapiens (human). Its description in RNAcentral is "non-protein coding lnc-SP110-2:3". Lineage: Eukaryota; Metazoa; Chordata; Mammalia; Primates; Hominidae. The record is from RNAcentral.
GUUUAUCUAGUGCCUAGAACAAUAGCUGGCUUAAAGAGGUCAAAUGGUAUUAUCAUUAUGACCCUGGAAAUGAAGGCUUGGAUUGUAUUUAAGUUGGAUCCAUUCCAGUGAUGACAGCUGUGCUAACGUCACCUCUGGUGGCUUUGUCCCCAAGAUUCGAGAUUACGGUGAGCCCUUUCAGGAAGCAAUGUGGUUGGACCUGGUUAAGGAAAGGCUGAUUACGGAAAUGUACACGGUGGCAUGGUUUGUGCGAGACAUGCGCCUGAUGUUUCGCAACCAUAAAACAUUUUACAAGGCUUCUGACUUUGGCCAGGUAGGACUUGACUUAGAGGCAGAAUUUGAAAAAGAUCUCAAAGACGUGCUCGGUUUUCAUGAAGCCAAUGACGGCGGUUUCUGGACUCUUCC